Zeugodacus cucurbitae (melon fly) is the source of this 2203-nucleotide long non-coding RNA. RefSeq lists it as uncharacterized. NCBI's taxonomy places the organism in Eukaryota, Metazoa, Arthropoda, Insecta, Diptera, Tephritidae. The transcript is spliced from 5 exons. The record is from RefSeq and is a predicted model, not a curated record.
AGUACGGCUGGUAUGUAUUGGUGAAUUGCACUAGUGAAUUCUUGUGUUACAAGUAACUAGAGAAUUCACGACAACGAGGUAAUGCAGAGAAGCAAUAGUACAUGAGAGAGAUUGAGAGAGAAGAGAGUAUGAUCUUGAGAACGUUGUGCUCAAUAUGUACUCUCAGUAGAAUAUUAGCGACAAAUAAGGGUGGGAAUGCAAUUUUGAGAGAUCGAAGCAAAAAUAACGCAGAGUAAUAACGGCAGAGCAUCUCGUACAGUAAGUACAAGUUGCAAAUAAUUAUUGGAUCAUUAUAUUAUUUACGUACAAGUUGGUCAUUGAAAGCAUGAUUUACUGUAGUAGAAAGAAAGGCAUCAGCGUUUUCUUUGUAAUUCUGAUAUUUCAUUUUUCGCAUAAUAGUUGUUCUCUGAUUGUACAAUUGAUUUCGUGUCGCGGGUUCUAAUACGUUUAUUGUUUAUUAAAAGUGUUAUUAAAAGGUGAAUAAUUAAAUGAAAUAAUAGUGAAUAAAAACAAAGAAAACAUAAACAUUUUAUAUGUAUAUAUGUAUGCAAAAAAAUGGAUUGCCCUGCAUAAUGAAAAAGAUCAACACCAAAUUUUAAUGGAACUCUUAGAAAUGUGGCUUGGGGAUAUAAGUGCAGUGAUAAAUAUGUCGCCUUUGAAUCCAGCCGAAGUGCACAAAAAUUUUGACGGAUAUUAACCGACUCUGUUGUUCAGAUGGUAAAUAUAAUUGUAAACAAAGAAAUUUUAAAUAAAAAUUAAUAUUGUUAAUUAUAUAAAAAUUAAAUAAAAUUUGUGUUUAAUUAUGUUUGGAAUAAACUAGCUAGGUUGAGAGGUAGUGAAGAAAGUAGUGAAAUUUAACAGUCGGUAAGUUGUGAGGUAACUAAUGAUAUAUAGUCAGUGAUAUGUGGUGAAGUAGCUAGUGAAGUAUAGGCGGUGAAAUCACUCGUGAAUAGUGUUAAUCGGUUACCGCCAAUGACAUCGCCGUGUUAAAUUCAUGAGUGAAUUGCAUUGCCGGUAUUAUGGUGGGUAACCAGUGGUGGUUACCAGUAAGUAGUGAACUCAUUAGUGUUUCACUAGUGAGCCGAACUGAAGGGUAGUGAUGAUACCCUGCAGUACGGCUGGUAUGUAUUGGUGAAUUGCACUAGUGAAUUCUUGUGUUACAAGUAACUAGAGAAUUCACGACAACGAGGUAAUGCAGAGAAGCAAUAGUACAUGAGAGAGAUUGAGAGAGAAGAGAGUAUGAUCUUGAGAACGUUGUGCUCAAUAUGUACUCUCAGUAGAAUAUUAGCGACAAAUAAGGGUGGGAAUGCAAUUUUGAGAGAUCGAAGCAAAAAUAACGCAGAGUAAUAACGGCAGAGCAUCUCGUACAGUAAGUACAAGUUGCAAAUAAUUAUUGGAUCAUUAUAUUAUUUACGUACAAGUUGGUCAUUGAAAGCAUGAUUUACUGUAGUAGAAAGAAAGGCAUCAGCGUUUUCUUUGUAAUUCUGAUAUUUCAUUUUUCGCAUAAUAGUUGUUCUCUGAUUGUACAAUUGAUUUCGUGUCGCGGGUUCUAAUACGUUUAUUGUUUAUUAAAAGUGUUAUUAAAAGGUGAAUAAUUAAAUGAAAUAAUAGUGAAUAAAAACAAAGAAAACAUAAACAUUUUAUAUGUAUAUAUGUAUGCAAAAAAAUGGAUUGCCCUGCAUAAUGAAAAAGAUCAACACCAAAUUUUAAUGGAACUCUUAGAAAUGUGGCUUGGGGAUAUAAGUGCAGUGAUAAAUAUGUCGCCUUUGAAUCCAGCCGAAGUGCACAAAAAUUUUGACGGAUAUUAACCGACUCUGUUGUUCAGAUGGUAAAUAUAAUUGUAAACAAAGAAAUUUUAAAUAAAAAUUAAUAUUGUUAAUUAUAUAAAAAUUAAAUAAAAUUUGUGUUUAAUUAUGUUUGGAAUAAACUAGCUAGGUUGAGAGGUAGUGAAGAAAGUAGUGAAAUUUAACAGUCGGUAAGUUGUGAGGUAACUAAUGAUAUAUAGUCAGUGAUAUGUGGUGAAGUAGCUAGUGAAGUAUAGGCGGUGAAAUCACUCGUGAAUAGUGUUAAUCGGUUACCGCCAAUGACAUCGCCGUGUUAAAUUCAUGAGUGAAUUGCAUUGCCGGUAUUAUGGUGGGUAACCAGUGGUGGUUACCAGUAAGUAGUGAACUCAUUAGUGUUUCACUAGUGAGCCGAACUGAAG